UCUCCGUAGGUGAACCUGCGGAGGGAUCAUUACUGAGUUAUACAACUCCAACCCAUGUGAACUAUACCACUGUUGCCUCGGCGGGGGGACGCCUACCCGGUACCUACCCUGUAGGCCAGCCCCGCCGGCGGAUUUCAGACUCUUGUUUUUUUGUGACACAUCUGAGUAACAUUUUAAAAUAAGUCAAAACUUUCAACAACGGAUCUCUUGGUUCUGGCAUCGAUGAAGAACGCAGC
This 236-nucleotide unclassified non-coding RNA is filed under the name uncultured fungus. RNAcentral's name for it is "sequence contains ITS1, 5.8S rRNA gene". The stretch from base 188 to 236 matches the Rfam family "5.8S ribosomal RNA", at positions 1 to 49 of the family's 154-position model. The record is from RNAcentral. Lineage: Eukaryota; Fungi.